UACGUAGGGCGCAAGCGUUGUCCGGAAUUAUUGGGCGUAAAGAGCUCGUAGGCGGUCUGUCGCGUCUGUUGUGAAAACUCGAGGCUCAACCUCAGGCUUGCAGUGGAUACGGGCAGACUAGAGUGCGGUAGGGGAGACUGGAAUUCCUGGUGUAGCGGUGGAAUGCGCAGAUAUCAGGAGGAACACCGAUGGCGAAGGCAGGUCUCUGGGCAGUAACUGACGCUGAGGAGCGAAAGCGUGGGGAGCGAACAGG
Molecule: ribosomal RNA, 253 nt
Filed under: uncultured bacterium
Lineage: Bacteria
Description: partial 16S ribosomal RNA
Rfam family: Bacterial small subunit ribosomal RNA
Source: RNAcentral